Molecule: ribosomal RNA, 767 nt
Filed under: uncultured organism
Description: bacterial SSU rRNA
Rfam family: Bacterial small subunit ribosomal RNA
Source: RNAcentral
UUGAUCCUGGCUCAGAACGGACGCUGGCGGCGCGUUUUAUGCAUGCAAGUCGGACGGGAUCCAUGGCUUCGGCUGUGGUGAGAGUGGCGAACGGGUGAGUAACACGUAGGUUAUCUGCCUUUGGGUGGGGGAUAGCCCAUGGAAACAUGGGGUAAUACCGCAUAAAGCCUUUCGGGGUUAAAGGAGCAAUUGUUCCGCCUGGGGAUGAGCCUGCGGUCCAUUAGCUUGUUGGUGUGGUAAUGGCGCACCAAGGCGACGAUGGAUAGCCGGCCUGAGAGGGUGAACGGCCACACUGGGACUGAGACACGGCCCAGACUCCUACGGGAGGCAGCAGCUAAGAAUCUUCCGCAAUGGGGGAAACCCUGACGGAGCGACGCCGCGUGGACGAUGAAGGCCGGAAGGUUGUAAAGUCCUUUUCUUCGCGAAGAAUAAUGCUGGGAGUGGAAUGCCCGGCAGAUGACGUUAGCGGAGGAAUAAGCCCCGGCCAAUUACGUGCCAGCAGCCGCGGUAACACGUAUGGGGCGAGCGUUGUUCGGAAUUAUUGGGCGUAAAGGGCGUGUAGGCGGCCUGUUAAGCUUGGUGUUAAAGGCCACGGGUCAAACCGUGGUUAAGCGCUGAGAACUGGCGGGCUAGAGUUCUGGAGGGGGAGCUGGAAUUCCAGGUGUAGGGGUGAAAUCUGUAGAUAUCUGGAAGAACACCGGUGGCGAAGGCGAGCUCCUGGGCAUGGACUGACGCUGAGGCGCGGAAGCGUGGGGAGCGAACAGGAU